AACGAACGCUGGCGGCAUGCCUAACACAUGCAAGUCGAACGAGACCUUCGGGUCUAGUGGCGCACGGGUGCGUAACGCGUGGGAACCUGCCCUUAGGUUCGGAAUAACUCCCCGAAAGGGGUGCUAAUACCGGAUAAUGUCUCCGGACCAAAGAUUGAUCGCCUUUGGAUGGGCCCGCGUUGGAUUAGCUAGUUGGUAGGGUAAAAGCCUACCAAGGCUACGAUCCAUAGCUGGUCUGAGAGGAUGAUCAGCCACACUGGGACUGAGACACGGCCCAGACUCCUACGGAAGGCAGCAGUGGGGAAUAUUGGACAAUGGGCGAAGGCCUGAUCCAGCAAUGCCGCGUGAGUGAUGAAGGCCUUAGGGUUGUAAAGCUCUUUUACCCGGGAUGAUAAUGACAGUACCGGGAGAAUAAGCUCCGGCUAACUCCGUG
Molecule: ribosomal RNA, 433 nt
Filed under: uncultured bacterium
Lineage: Bacteria
Description: partial 16S ribosomal RNA
Rfam family: Bacterial small subunit ribosomal RNA
Source: RNAcentral